GGCCUCUCUGGGGGUCCUUUGCUGAUGGCUGUCCGUUCCCUGUAUGACCGGAGUCUGGUUCGCAUUGCCGGCAGUAAGUCGGACCUGUUCCCAGUGCACGUUGGCCUCCGCCAGGGCUGCCCUUUGUCACCAGUGUG
This is a long non-coding RNA of Thalassophryne amazonica, 137 nucleotides long. RefSeq lists it as uncharacterized. The record is from RefSeq and is a predicted model, not a curated record. The transcript is spliced from 3 exons. NCBI's taxonomy places the organism in Eukaryota, Metazoa, Chordata, Actinopteri, Batrachoidiformes, Batrachoididae.